GAGCUAAACCAAGUGCGCCAGAUGGUCAUAGAUGUAUCAUGUCUUGAUAAGAAUCUGGACCUCAGGCUUAUGCUUUGCUCCAGGAAGAUCUUAACAGCUCUAACUGUAAGUUGUACUGUCUCUCGCUGAAAAAUUCAAUCAACACUGCAUGAUUGUUAGACACUCAUUGAAGCAUGAAGUGUCUUGGGCUCUGCCCAAACCCAGCAGAAAAUUGUUAGUGAGAAAACUUGAGCAAGCAUCCUCCCUUUGUAUUUUCCUCCAAUGACAGAUUUAAUCUAGUCUAGCAAGUCCUUUCUCCAUUUCAAAGAAUGUCAUGAUGGAAAAUAGGAAAUAAUCUCUAUCCUAGAACUUAGUUUGAUCACACCUGGAAGAGAAGAUAUGUAAAACAAGCACUGAGUAGGCUUGCACUAGCGAGUUAGGCUAACAAUGAUUUCAUAGUUGGUCUUUCAUAUGCAAAGUCAAGAACGAAAUUUAGAAGGUUAAAACCGUAUACCCGGAUAUUGGUCUUUCAUGCUUGAAAGAGUAAGGAUUUUCAUAGUUGGAACAAUGAUUUCCCUAAUUUUGCAUGAGAGAUUUUCAUCUAGAGUCUAGACAGCGCAAAGCUGCUAGUGAGUAAUUUAUUUCCAGCAUGAAAAUUUUAGUUUAUUAAGCAGAAGCCAAUGAUUAUUCUUGCCUGAUAAUCAUAUAUAUCAAAGCCAGAUUAUAGUUACUAAGUAUUGGGUACUUAGUAACUAAGCCAGAUUAUUCUUCUGAUAAUCAUAUAUAUCAAAGCCAAGAAACUUCAUUGUAAUAGACACAUAUUCUGUUAGAGUUAUAAUUGGAUUUUUAACUCCUGAUAGUGAUGCUGUGGAGUGACUGAUUGUACGAAUCGAUGCAGGAUGAGGAGAUGAAUAGCCUUAGAGAUCUGAUCAAUUCGGCGGUUCUAGAUUCAGAUAUGAAGGGUGGAUUAAGAUGGCCCCUGGGGGAGGCAUCUUCUGGUGGUAGAUAUAGUGUCAUUGGGG
Molecule: long non-coding RNA, 1001 nt
Filed under: Populus trichocarpa (black cottonwood)
Lineage: Eukaryota; Viridiplantae; Streptophyta; Magnoliopsida; Malpighiales; Salicaceae
Description: long non-coding RNA (PTRI_LNC004161)
Source: RNAcentral